Molecule: long non-coding RNA, 229 nt
Filed under: Mytilus galloprovincialis (Mediterranean mussel)
Lineage: Eukaryota; Metazoa; Mollusca; Bivalvia; Mytilida; Mytilidae
Source: RNAcentral
AGGUUAUAAAAAUUGUUCCUUAAUUGUAUAUUUUAGAUAAACAAAACUUGUUUUUUCAUCUUUGUAAUGAAGCGUGCAGGAAUUACUUAUCAAUAUAAGUACAGGUGCAAUUAUUCUUUGGAUUGGGCUCAGUACGCUCAAAUUGUAUGCUGAAAUGUCAAUGCAAGACCAAACUUAUUGAUUAACGUAUAAUGAUUGCUCUUAAAAAUGAUUAAAAAUAAGACGAACA